ACCAGAGUCGAAAGGAAGAUGCCUGGGAGCCUGCAGUCGAAGUUUUAAGCAAACGUCACAGCAAAAACAGCCUUAAAAGAAGAGAAGACAAAAUGUAACCAAAGCUUACCAGACCACAGGAGGGUCAUCACCGGAGUCAGAAGGCGGACGCCCGGGAUCCUGCAGUCGGACUUGGGUCAUGCCCCAGCAUACGACAACACAGCAGCCUUCAGCUCCUCCUUCGUGUUCCAGGGAUACAUGUGCAGAAUUGUUACAUAGGUAAGUUGUGUCUCAUGGGGGUUUGGUGUACAAAUAAUGUUGCCACCCAGGUAAUUAGUGUGGUCCCACCCUCCAUCUUCAAAUAGACCCCAGUGUCUGUUAUUCCCUCAUUUGAGCCCAUGCGUACUCAAUGAAUUGCAUCUACUUAUAAGUGAGAAUGUGGGGUAUUGGGUUUUCUGUUCCUGAAUUAAUUUUUCAAACCUAAUGGCCUCCAGCUCCACCCGUGUUUCUACAGAGGCCACGGUCUUAUUCUUUUUGUGGCUUCAUAGUGUUCCAUGGUAUAUAAUGAUGUUCUUUUUUUCUAGUUAUUGUUUUUGAUUUAAAGUUUGUUUUAUCUUAUAUGAGAAUAGAAACACCUGCUUGCUUUUGGUUUCUCUUUACUUGGAAUAUUUUCUUCCGUCUCUCUACUUUCAGUCUAUAUGUGUCUUUAGUGGUGACGUGUUUCUUUUCAGCAGCAUACAGUUAGGUCUUGUUUUUAGAAUCCAUUCAGUCCAUUUGUAUAAUUGAAGUGACAAAUUUAUUUUCAUUCAAAGUUAUUAUUGAUAUAUGAGGUUUUCUUUCUGAUGGUGCAAUUUUUACCUGGAUGUUCUGAGUAUUCUUUGUUCUUUUUUAAAACCUAUUAUUGUUUAGUGUUGUGGUAUGGUGGCUUUCUGUAGCGGUAAAAUUUGAGACUUUUUAUUACUCAUUUGUGUGUUUGCUUUAAGAGUAAGUUUUACACUUUAAUAUGUUUUCAAGAUAGUAGAUUUUGCCCUUUUUCUUCCAGGUUAGGACUUUAUUAAGCAUUUCUUGUAGUGCCAGUCUAAUGGUUAUGAAUUUCCUCAGUUUUUGCUUGUUUGGCAAAUAAUUUACUUAAAUUUUUUAAAAAAUGAUCUGGAUAUAGUUUUCCUGGAUAACAGUUGUUUUCUUUCAGCACUUAACAUCUCAUGCCAUUAUCUCUGGGCCAGUAAAAUUUUGACUGAGAAAGCCAUUCUUAAUCUGAUGGAGAUUUGUUUAUAUGUGACUAGAUGCUUUUAUUUUGCUGUUUUUAGAAUUAUCCCUUUGUCUGUGACUUAUGGCAGUUUCACUAUCAUAUGCCAGUGAGACAUUUUUGAAUUGUAUUUAUUUGGGUUGAUAUGGUUUGGCUCUGUGUCCCCACUCAAAUCUCACCUUGAAUUAAAUCCCCAUAAUCCCCAUGUGUUAAGGGUGGGACCGGGUGGAGAUAGUUGAAUCAUGAGGGCAGUUUCCUUCAUGCUGUUCUCAUGACAGUAAGUGAGUUCUCACAAGAUCGGAUGGUUUUAUAGGUAUCUGACAUUUCCCCUGCUUGCACUCCCUUCAUCCGGCCACCCUGUGAAAAAGGUGCCUUUUUCUCCUUUGCUUUCUGCCAUGAUUAUAAAUUUCUUGGGGCCUCCCCAGCCAUGUGGAACUGUGAGUCAAUUAAACUUUUUUUUUAAAUAAAUCACCCAGUCUUGGGUAUUUCUUCAUAGCAGUAUAAAAAUGGACUUAUACAGUAAAUUGUUACCUAGGUAGUGGGGUGCUGCUAUCAGGAUACCCAAAAAUGUGGAAGCGACUUUGGAACCGGGUAACAGGCAGAGAUUGGAACAGUUUGGAGGACUUAGAAUAAGAUAGGAAAAUGUGGGAAAGAUAGAAACUUCCUAGAGAUUUGGAGGACUCAGAAGAAAGGAAGAUGUGGCAAAGUUUGGAACUUCCUAGAGACUUGUUAAAUGGCUUUGACCACAAUGCCGAUAACGGUAUGUGCAAUAAAAAGCAGGCUGAGGUGGUCUCAGAUGGCGGUGAGGAACUUGGUGGGAACUGGAGUAAAGGUGACCCUUGCUGUGUUUUAGCAAGGAGACUGGCAGCAUUUUGGCCCUUCCCUAACGAUUGGUGGAACUCUGAACUUGAGGGAGAUGGUUUAGGGUGUCUGGCAGAAGAAAUUUCUAAGCAGCGAAACAUUCAAAAGGUAACUUGGGUGCUGUUAAAAGCAUUCCACUUUAAAAGGAAAUCAGCAUAAAAGUUCGGAAAGUGUGCGGCUUGACAAUGUGACAGAAAAGAAAAACCCAUUUUCUGAGCAGAAAUUCAAGCUGGCUGCAGAAAUUUGCAUAAGUAACAAGGAGCCGAAUGUUAAUUUCCAAGAUCAUGGGGAAAAUGUCUCCAGGACAUGCCAGAGACCUUUGCAGUUGCCCCUCUCAUCACAGGCCCAGAGGCCUAGGAGGAAAACAUGGUUUCCUGGGCCAGAUGCAGGGCCUGCCCGCUAUGUGCAACCUAGGGACUUGGUGCCCUGUGUCUCAGCCACUCCCAUCAUGGCUAAAAGGGGCCAAGGUACAGCUCGGGUUGUUGCUUCAGAGGGUGCAAGCCCCAAGCCUUGGCAUCUUACACGUGGUGUUGAGCCUGUGGGUGCACGGAAGUCAAGAAUUGAGGUUUGGGAACUUCUGCCUAGAUUUCAGAGGAUAUCUGGAAACACCUGGAUGCCCAGGCAGAAGUUUGCUGCAAGGGCAGGGCCCUCAUGGAGAACAUCUGCUAAGCCAGUGCAGAAGGCAAAUGUGGGGUUGGAGCCCCCACACAGAGGGCCCACUGGGGAACCACCUAGUGGGCCUGUGAGAAGAGGAGCACUGUCCUCCAGACCCCAGAAUGGUCGCACCUGAAAAAUCAGUAGACACUCAACACCAGCCUGUAAAUGCAGCCAGGAUCCGGGCUAUAACCUGCAAAGCAACAGGGGCGGAGCUGCCCAAGGCUGUGGGAACCCACCUCUUCCAUCAGUGUGACCUGGAUGUGAGGCAUGGAGUCAAAGGAGAUCAUUUUGGAGCUUUAAGAUUUGACUGCCUCGCUGGAUUUUGGACUUGUAUGGGGCCUUUAGCUCCUUUAUUCUGGCCAAUUUCUCCCAUUGGGAAUAGUUGUAUUUACCCAAUACUUGUACCUCCAUUGUCUCGAGGAAGUAACUAACUUGCUUUUUAAUUUUACAGGCUUGUAGGCAGAAGGGGCUUGCCCUGUCUCAGAUAAGACUUUGGUCUGUGGAUUUUUGAGUUAAUGAUGAAAUGAGUUAAGACUUUGGAGGACUGUUGGGAAGGCAUUAUUGUUUUUGAAAUGUGAGGACAUGAGAUUUGGCAAAGGACCAAGGGCGGAAUGAUAUGAUUUGGCUCUGUGUCCGCACCUAACUCUUAUCUUGAAUUCUAAUUCCCAUAAUUCCCACAUGUUGUGGGAGGGACUUGGUGAGACAUAAUUGAUUCUUGGGGUCAGUUUCCCCCAUACCACUGUGGUAGUGGGUAAGUCUCAUGAGAUCUGAUGAUUUUAUAAGGGGUUUCCGCUUUGGCUUCUCUCUCAUCCUCUCUUGCCACCACCAUGAAAGAACUUUUCACCUUCCUUCAUGAUUGUGAGGCCUCCCCAGCCGUGUGGAACUGUGAGUCCAUUAAACCUGUUUCUUCCAAGUCUUAGGUAUGUCUUUAUCAGCAGGUCUACAGAUUUGUCAUUGGUUUUGUUAAAUUAUGCCAAAAUUAAUAAUGUUUAUAAGCUGUGUAAUCAAAUACCAAUUUAUAUAUUUUCUGUUUUGUUUUGUUCUUUUUUUUGUCAUUGGGGAAAAUUUAGAAACUGUAAAUGUAAAGAAGAAAAUUAAAAUUAUGUAUUUACUUCAAGA
This is a long non-coding RNA of Homo sapiens (human), 3862 nucleotides long. RefSeq lists it as uncharacterized. NCBI's taxonomy places the organism in Eukaryota, Metazoa, Chordata, Mammalia, Primates, Hominidae. The transcript has 2 exons. The record is from RefSeq and is a predicted model, not a curated record.